This 404-nucleotide ribosomal RNA is filed under the name uncultured bacterium. Its description in RNAcentral is "bacterial SSU rRNA". It matches the Rfam family "Bacterial small subunit ribosomal RNA", at positions 355 to 775 of the family's 1533-position model. The record is from RNAcentral.
UAAGGAAUCUUCCACAAUGGGCGAAAGCCUGAUGGAGCAACGCCGCGUGCGGGAUGAAGGCCUUCGGGUUGUAAACCGCUUUUAUUAGCGAAGAAUAUGACGGUAACUAAUGAAUAAGGAUCGGCUAACUCCGUGCCAGCAGCCGCGGUCAGACGGAGGAUCCGAGCGUUAUCCGGAGUGACUGGGCGUAAAGAGUUGCGUAGGCGGUUUAUUAAGCAGAUAGUGAAAUCUCAGGGCUCAACCUUGAGGCUAUUAUCUGAACUGGUAAACUUGAGAAUGAGAGAGGUAAUUGGAAUUCCCAGUGUAGCGGUGAAAUGCGUAGAUAUUGGGAAGAACACCAAUGGCGUAGGCAGAUUACUGGCUCAUUUCUGACGCUAAGGCACGAAAGCGUGGGGAGCGAACCG